Olea europaea var. sylvestris is the source of this 182-nucleotide long non-coding RNA. RefSeq lists it as uncharacterized. The record is from RefSeq and is a predicted model, not a curated record. The transcript is spliced from 2 exons. NCBI's taxonomy places the organism in Eukaryota, Viridiplantae, Streptophyta, Magnoliopsida, Lamiales, Oleaceae.
AUAUAGAGCUAGGGUUUAUUAUUUCUCCACAGCUUUAAAGAAGAGUUGCGCACCGAGAUAGAGAGAGGGAGAGGGGAAGAGAGAGACGCCGCCUGGUAGAUUGUUGCCACCACCAGCAAAAUGGCGAGAGGUUUGAAGAAACACUUGAAGAGGCUCAAUGCCCCAAAACAUUGGAUGUUGGA